This 436-nucleotide ribosomal RNA is filed under the name uncultured eukaryote. RNAcentral's name for it is "bacterial SSU rRNA". It matches the Rfam family "Eukaryotic small subunit ribosomal RNA", at positions 1209 to 1658 of the family's 1831-position model. The record is from RNAcentral.
GAAAACUCACCAGGUCAGGACACGGUAAGGAUUGACGGACUGAAGGCUCUUUCUCGAUUCCGUGGAAAGUGGUGCAUGGCCGUUUUGGUUGGUGGAUCGAUCCGUCUGGUUAAUUCCGUUAACGAACGAGACCUCGGCACUCCGAAUAGCGCGGCGGACGUCGCGGCCUCCGGGCCGUCUUCCGCACGAGCUUCUUAGAGGGACCGUCCCCGCCGGGGAAGGAGGUGCGAGGCAACGACAGGUCUGUGAUGCCCUUAGAUGUUCUGGGCCGCACGCGCAUUACACUGACGCGUCCAACGGGUGACUCCCGACCCGAAGGGGCCGGGGAAGUCCGCAAGGCGCGUCGUGAUGGGGAUUGAACGUUGCAAUUGUUGUUCACGAACGAGGAAUUCCAGUAGGCGCGGGUCAUCAACCCGCGCCGAUUACGUCCCUGCCC